AGCACUUCCCCCAUCAGUGAAGUGCUUUAUUUAACAGGAUGGCUUUUCAUUGGGAACCAAAUUCAAAUACCUGAAUUUUUUUCUUUCAUCUUUUGGGACAGGCUGUGAACUGGAAAAGUGGAAUUUAACUGUAAAUGUAUUGUUUCCUUAUUCUUUAGCUUAUAGUUGCUCAUUUGCUGAAUUUAUUACCAUUGUGUGGUGUAGAAAACACCACUAGAAGUUUAGUUGCAGAAGCCGAGAGUCUGAAAAUGGAGAAGAGUUAAUAUUAAACUUCCUAAUCCAAUAUCUUGGCUUACAAUUGUUUUUUGUGCCUAAAUAUUUGCCCAGUUUAAGUCUGAUUGUUGAUUCUUUAUUUCUCUUAAGAAAUGGCUUUGGUAUAUUUUUACUAUUACUGAGAAUGAGGUUUCUCUCUCUAUUUUCUGCCUCCAGAUGGCUCUUUAGACCUAAGAAGCAGUUCUCUUUCCUUUAAAAUAUCUGCAAGUAUUUGAAUUGAUACUGAUAACCGGACUGUAGUGAAAGCUGCUGGGCAGGUCUCAGCAACUCCAUGUCACCGUGGCAGACCAAAUGUGUGCAGAAGUCUGCAAGGAGCAUGGAGAACUUGGAACAGAUUAUCUUCUUAGGUGCACACAGGCUGACAAUCUACGGACACAUACCCUCAAAAUAAACCGGGGCUACUUUGUGUCUGCCUGUGCCUGCCCUUCUUCCUUUUCCACUCAGGAAAUCACAUCAGCAGGGUUGCAGACAACAUACACUGACUCUGGCUAGAACUUAUUGGAUGAACAGUCAGAUCCUGAAAUUUAGGAGUUGAAGCAGCAAGCAGUUUGAUGAUACAAGCCGUGGUGGACCUCUGGGGCCUCAGAAGCAGAUGGUUAUGGAUCUUCCUCUGGAAUGUUGAUGGCUUUAUUUCUCAUCUUUAGUGACCUGUCAUUGGUUGCCAGGAAGACAGGGCCGUGUCCCAAACAUGGACACUGCUGUCACUUCGCUGAUUCAGGAAUACUCUGCAGGGCAAAGGGAAUGUUGGGAGACUAAUGCAUUUUAAAGGGUUUCUUUUUUUUGUAUAUUUUAUUUGAAAUGUUUUGUUUGGUACUAUGGAAAAAAUAAUUUUAGAGACAACAAAUGUUAUCAAUGUAGGUAACAGUUUACCAUAAAAGAGAGACAUAGGAAAUAUUUAUGUGCUGGGCUGGAGGCGUAGCUCAGUGGUAGAAUGCAUGAGACCCUGGGUUCAAUCCCAAGAAAACCUCCUCCCCCUUAAAAAAUGCAGAAAAUAGUUACAGGAUGAAAUUUCAGAACACCACUGAAAGUUUUUAAAGGUUUUGUUGAGGCACAGUUGACAUAUAACAAAGUUCACAUAUUUGAAAUCAUGGUUUGGUAUAUUUUGGUACUGAUGAUGCACAUCUGGAAAACUGCCACUAUGAUGAAGACAAUGACUGUCUUCCACCCCUGGAUAUCUCCUUGUGCCUUUGUGUUCCUUCCCUCAGCCCCUGCCAUCCCUAAGCACCCACUGCCUAUGUCCCUUAGAUUGACUCAAUUUUUCUAGUGUGUCAUAUAAAUGGAAUCAUACAGUGCAUGUCUUCUUUUUGACUCAGUAUGACUACUGUGAGACUCAUCCAUGUUACAGUAGACAGCAGUGCUUUGUUUCUUUAUAUGAGUGACUAAUGCUGAAUAGAUUAUACAGCUUGUUUAUUUAUUAGUUAGCAAGCAUUUUACUUAUUUCUGUCUGGGGAUAUUAUCAAUAAAAAUGUUAUAACAAUUUGUGUACAGGUGAUUUUUAGAUAUGUUUUCAUUUCUGUUGGAUAAACUAGAAGUAGAAUCAGUAAUUGCCAAGUAUCAAGUAGUUGUACCAUUUUAUAUUCCUACCACAAAUAUCUUGUAGCCACACUUGUUCUAUAUCUGCACAAACACAUAGUGCAUGUCUAGUAUUUACUUUGAAAAUAAUACUUUAGAAAGGGAAACAAGCCAAAUAAAAAAUUAAUUAAAAAAUUUA
Molecule: non-coding RNA, 1984 nt
Organism: Cricetulus griseus (Chinese hamster)
Lineage: Eukaryota; Metazoa; Chordata; Mammalia; Rodentia; Cricetidae
Source: RefSeq, a predicted model, not a curated record